Molecule: ribosomal RNA, 433 nt
Filed under: uncultured bacterium
Lineage: Bacteria
Description: partial 16S ribosomal RNA
Rfam family: Bacterial small subunit ribosomal RNA
Source: RNAcentral
AACGAACGCUGGCGGCAUGCCUAACACAUGCAAGUCGAACGAUACCUUCGGGUCUAGUGGCGCACGGGUGCGUAACGCGUGGGAACCUGCCCUUAGGUUCGGAAUAACUCCCCGAAAGGGGUGCUAAUACCGGAUAAUGUCUUCGGACCAAAGAUUUAUCGCCUUUGGAUGGGCCCGCGUUGGAUUAGCUAGUUGGUAGGGUAAAAGCCUACCAAGGCGACGAUCCAUAGCUGGUCUGAGAGGAUGAUCAGCCACACUGGGACUGAGACACGGCCCAGACUCCUACGGGAGGCAGCAGUGGGGAAUAUUGGACAAUGGGCGAAAGCCUGAUCCAGCAAUGCCGCGUGAGUGAUGAAGGCCUUAGGGUUGUAAAGCUCUUUUACCCGGGAUGAUAAUGACAGUACCGGGAGAAUAAGCUCCGGCUAACUCCGUG